RNAcentral lists this ribosomal RNA (253 nucleotides) under uncultured bacterium. RNAcentral's name for it is "partial 16S ribosomal RNA". It matches the Rfam family "Bacterial small subunit ribosomal RNA", at positions 524 to 776 of the family's 1533-position model. The record is from RNAcentral.
UACGUAGGGGGCAAGCGUUAUCCGGAUUUACUGGGUGUAAAGGGAGCGUAGACGGCAGUGCAAGUCUGAAGUAAAAGGCGGGGGCCCAACCCCCGGACUGCUUUGGAAACUGUGCUGCUGGAGUGCAGGAGAGGCAAGUGGAAUUCCUAGUGUAGCGGUGAAAUGCGUAGAUAUUAGGAGGAACACCAGUGGCGAAGGCGGCUUGCUGGACUGUAACUGACGUUGAGGCUCGAAAGCGUGGGGAGCAAACAGG